CCAUAGCUCAAUGGAUAGAGCACCCGCCUUCUAAGCGGAUGAUAUAGGUUCGAUUCCCAUUGG
Molecule: transfer RNA, 63 nt
Filed under: bovine gut metagenome
Rfam family: tRNA
About the family: Transfer RNA (tRNA) molecules are approximately 80 nucleotides in length.
Source: RNAcentral